RNAcentral lists this ribosomal RNA (498 nucleotides) under uncultured bacterium. Its description in RNAcentral is "partial 16S ribosomal RNA". It matches the Rfam family "Bacterial small subunit ribosomal RNA", at positions 28 to 507 of the family's 1533-position model. The record is from RNAcentral.
GACGAACGCUGGCGGCGUGCCUAAUACAUGCAAGUCGAACGAGAGCGCCCGGUGCUUGCACUGUUCAAUCUGGUGGCGAACGGGUGAGUAACACGUGGGUAACCUGCCCAUCAGAGGGGGAUAACAUUCGGAAACGGAUGCUAAAACCGCAUAGGUCUUCGAACGGCAUGGUUUGAAGAGGAAAAGAGGCGCACGCUUCUGCUGAUGCAUGUACCCGCGGUGCACUAGCUAGUUGGUGAGGUAACGGCUCACCAAGGCCGUGAUGCGUAGCCGACCUGAGAGGAUGAUCGGCCACAUUGGGACUGAGACACGGCCCAAACUCCUACGGGAGGCAGCAGUAGGGAAUCUUCCGCAAUGGACGCAAGCCUGACGGAGCAACGCCGCGUGAGUGAAGAAGGUUUUCGGAUCGUAAAGCUCUGUUGUUAGGGAAGAAUAAGUGCUAGAGUAACUGUUAGCGCCUUGACGGUAUCUAACCAGAAAGCCACGGCUAACUACGUG